AUGAACGCUGGCGGCGUGCCUCAUACAUGCAAGUCGAGCGAACAGACGAGGAGCUUGCUCCUCUGACGUUAGCGGCGGACGGGUGAGUAACACGUGGAUAACCUACCUAUAAGACUGGGAUAACUUCGGGAAACCGGAGCUAAUACCGGAUAAUAUAUUGAACCGCAUGGUUCAAUAGUGAAAGACGGUUUUGCUGUCACUUAUAGAUGGAUCCGCGCCGCAUUAGCUAGUUGGUAAGGUAACGGCUUACCAAGGCAACGAUGCGUAGCCGACCUGAGAGGGUGAUCGGCCACACUGGAACUGAGACACGGUCCAGACUCCUAUGGGAGGCAGCAGUAGGGAAUCUUCCGCAAUGGGCGAAAGCCUGACGGAGCAACGCCGCGUGAGUGAUGAAGGUCUUCGGAUCGUAAAACUCUGUUAUUAGGGAAGAACAAAUGUGUAAGUAACUAUGCACGUCUUGACGGUACCUAAUCAGAAAGCCACGGCUAACUACGUG
Molecule: ribosomal RNA, 496 nt
Filed under: uncultured bacterium
Lineage: Bacteria
Description: partial 16S ribosomal RNA
Rfam family: Bacterial small subunit ribosomal RNA
Source: RNAcentral